This 495-nucleotide ribosomal RNA is filed under the name uncultured bacterium. RNAcentral's name for it is "partial 16S ribosomal RNA". It matches the Rfam family "Bacterial small subunit ribosomal RNA", at positions 28 to 507 of the family's 1533-position model. The record is from RNAcentral.
GACGAACGCUGGCGGCGUGCCUAAUACAUGCAAGUAGAACGCUGAAGGAGGAGCUUGCUUCUCUGGAUGAGUUGCGAACGGGUGAGUAACGCGUAGGUAACCUGCCUGGUAGCGGGGGAUAACUAUUGGAAACGAUAGCUAAUACCGCAUAAGAGUAGAUGUUGCAUGACAUUUACUUAAAAGGUGCAAUUGCAUCACUACCAGAUGGACCUGCGUUGUAUUAGCUAGUUGGUGAGGUAACGGCUCACCAAGGCAACGAUACAUAGCCGACCUGAGAGGGUGAUCGGCCACACUGGGACUGAGACACGGCCCAGACUCCUACGGGAGGCAGCAGUAGGGAAUCUUCGGCAAUGGACGGAAGUCUGACCGAGCAACGCCGCGUGAGUGAAGAAGGUUUUCGGAUCGUAAAGCACUGUUGUAAGAGAAGAACGAGUGUGAGAGUGGAAAGUUCACACUGUGACGGUAUCUUACCAGAAAGGGACGGCUAACUACGUG